UGAUGUCUUCGCAUUUCAGUUCUAUGUGGUUCAAAUGUGGUUUUAAGUUGCCGUUGGCCGUAGUUCUUGCCAUACUCCCAUGCGCACAGCAGCGACUGUCUCCUCUGUUUGGCUGUCGGGUAAUGUAACCGGUGUGCUUUACUGAACUUACAAAGGUUAGAGGUCAGCUAUAUCUGGAAAGACUCCUCAGGAAGGCAGAUGCUUACUAACGUGAGGGCUUGAACUCAUGCUCUCUGUGCUGGACUGCUGUCCUAAAUGUACAACCUUCUCAUUUUGUCUCUGUGGUCCAACCUUCCAGCAGCUAUUUGUCACAAGCAGAUGUUACAUGAACCAUGACCUCCAAGUGUUGUUACUGAGAAUGGGCGCUUGGUGCCAGUUCUGAUUGGAAAACUGCAGUGCAGAGAGGACAUGGUCAAGUUAGGGUUUUAAUGAAGGUUUUGAGGUUGGAGCUGAUGACGAGACAAUUUCCUUGGACUUGAUUCAGCUGUUUCUCCAUCUGGCGUUUGAGCACCUGGGUUUCUCCACUAUCUUCUCAUUCCAACCCUGUGG
Molecule: long non-coding RNA, 549 nt
Organism: Micropterus dolomieu (smallmouth bass)
Lineage: Eukaryota; Metazoa; Chordata; Actinopteri; Centrarchiformes; Centrarchidae
Exons: 5
Source: RefSeq, a predicted model, not a curated record